UACGUAGGGGGCGAGCGUUGUCCGGAGUUACUGGGCGUAAAGGGCGCGCAGGCGGUCUGGUAAGUUUGGAGUGACAGUGCUCGGCUUAACUGAGCAAGGCCUUCGAAAACUGCUAGACUUGAGCACUCAAGAGGGACAUAGAAUUCCGGGUGGAGUGGUGAAAUGCGUAGAUAUCAAGAGGAACACCAGUGGCGGAGGCGAGUCCCUGGACAAUUCCUGACACUGAGGCACGAAAGCCAAGGGAGCAAACAGG
Molecule: ribosomal RNA, 253 nt
Filed under: uncultured bacterium
Lineage: Bacteria
Description: partial 16S ribosomal RNA
Rfam family: Bacterial small subunit ribosomal RNA
Source: RNAcentral